RNAcentral lists this ribosomal RNA (1009 nucleotides) under Staphylococcus aureus. Its description in RNAcentral is "bacterial SSU rRNA". It matches the Rfam family "Bacterial small subunit ribosomal RNA", at positions 1 to 991 of the family's 1533-position model. The record is from RNAcentral. Lineage: Bacteria; Bacillati; Bacillota; Bacilli; Caryophanales; Staphylococcaceae.
UUUAUGGAGAGUUUGAUCCUGGCUCAGGAUGAACGCUGGCGGCGUGCCUAAUACAUGCAAGUCGAGCGAACGGACGAGAAGCUUGCUUCUCUGAUGUUAGCGGCGGACGGGUGAGUAACACGUGGAUAACCUACCUAUAAGACUGGGAUAACUUCGGGAAACCGGAGCUAAUACCGGAUAAUAUUUUGAACCGCAUGGUUCAAAAGUGAAAGACGGUCUUGCUGUCACUUAUAGAUGGAUCCGCGCUGCAUUAGCUAGUUGGUAAGGUAACGGCUUACCAAGGCAACGAUGCAUAGCCGACCUAAGAGGGUGAUCGGCCACACUGGAACUGAGACACGGUCCAGACUCCUACGGGAGGCAGCAGUAGGGAAUCUUCCGCAAUGGGCGAAAGCCUGACGGAGCAACGCCGCGUGAGUGAUGAAGGUCUUCGGAUCGUAAAACUCUGUUAUUAGGGAAGAACAUAUGUGUAAGUAACUGUGCACAUCUUGACGGUACCUAAUCAGAAAGCCACGGCUAACUACGUGCCAGCAGCCGCGGUAAUACGUAGGUGGCAAGCGUUAUCCGGAAUUAUUGGGCGUAAAGCGCGCGUAGGCGGUUUUUUAAGUCUGAUGUGAAAGCCCACGGCUCAACCGUGGAGGGUCAUUGGAAACUGGAAAACUUGAGUGCAGAAGAGGAAAGUGGAAUUCCAUGUGUAGCGGUGAAAUGCGCAGAGAUAUGGAGGAACACCAGUGGCGAAGGCGACUUUCUGGUCUGUAACUGACGCUGAUGUGCGAAAGCGUGGGGAUCAAACAGGAUUAGAUACCCUGGUAGUCCACGCCGUAAACGAUGAGUGCUAAGUGUUAGGGGGUUUCCGCCCCUUAGUGCUGCAGCUAACGCAUUAAGCACUCCGCCUGGGGAGUACGACCGCAAGGUUGAAACUCAAAGGAAUUGACGGGGACCCGCACAAGCGGUGGAGCAUGUGGUUUAAUUCGAAGCAACGCGAAGAACCUUACCAAAUCUUGACAUCCUU